CCUACGGGUGGCUGCAGUGAGGAAUCUUCCACAAUGGGCGAAAGCCUGAUGGAGCAACGCCGCGUGCAGGAUGAAGGCCCUCGGGUCGUAAACUGCUUUUGUUAGCGAAGAAUAUGACGGUAACUAACGAAUAAGGGUCGGCUAACUACGUGCCAGCAGCCGCGGUCAUACGUAGGACCCAAGCGUUAUCCGGAGUGACUGGGCGUAAAGAGUUGCGUAGGUGGUUAUGUAAGUGAAUAGUGAAACCUGGUGGCUCAACCAUACAGACUAUUAUU
This 275-nucleotide ribosomal RNA is filed under the name uncultured bacterium. RNAcentral's name for it is "partial 16S ribosomal RNA". It matches the Rfam family "Bacterial small subunit ribosomal RNA", at positions 338 to 628 of the family's 1533-position model. The record is from RNAcentral.